CGGGGGCAACCCUGGUGGCGAGUGGCGAACGGGUGAGUAAUGCAUCGGAACGUGCCCAUCGAUGGGGGAUAACUGCGCGAAAGCGUUGCUAAUACCGCAUACGACCUACGGGUGAAAGCAGGGGACCGCAAGGCCUUGCGUCGAUGGAGCGGCCGAUGCCGGAUUAGCUAGUUGGUGAGGUAAAGGCUCACCAAGGCGACGAUCCCGUAGCUGGUCUGAGAGGACGACCAGCCACACUGGGACUGAGACACGGCCCAGACUCCUACGGGAGGCAGCAGUGGGGAAUCUUGGACAAUGGGCGAAAGCCUGAUCCAGCAAUGCCGCGUGUGGGAAGAAGGCCCUCGGGUUGUAAACCACUUUUGGCGGGAAAGAAAUGGUCUGUGCUAAUACCACGGAUUGAUGACGGUACCCGCAGAAUAAGCACCGGCUAACUACGUG
RNAcentral lists this ribosomal RNA (438 nucleotides) under uncultured bacterium. Its description in RNAcentral is "bacterial SSU rRNA". It matches the Rfam family "Bacterial small subunit ribosomal RNA", at positions 74 to 507 of the family's 1533-position model. The record is from RNAcentral.